Molecule: ribosomal RNA, 459 nt
Filed under: uncultured bacterium
Lineage: Bacteria
Description: partial 16S ribosomal RNA
Rfam family: Bacterial small subunit ribosomal RNA
Source: RNAcentral
CCUACGGUAGGCAGCAGUAGGGAAUCUUUCACAAUGGGCGAAAGCCUGAACCAGCCAAGUAGCGUGAAGGAUGACUGCCCUACGGGUUGUAAACUUCUUUUAUAAAGGAAUAAAGUGAGGCACGUGUGCCUUUUUGUAUGUACUUUAUGAAUAAGGAUCGGCUAACUCCGUGCCAGCAGCCGCGGUAAUACGGAGGAUCCGAGCGUUAUCCGGAUUUAUUGGGUUUAAAGGGAGCGUAGAUGGGUUGUUAAGUCAGUGGUGAGAGUUUGCGGCUCAACCGUAAAGUGCAAUUGAUACUGGCAGUCUUGAGUACAGUUGAGGUAGGCGGAAUUCGUGGUGUAGCGGUGAAAUGCUUAGAUAUCACGAAGAACUCCGAUUGAGAAGGCAGCUUACUAAACUGCCACUGACAUUGAUGCUCGAAAGUGUGGGUAUCAAACAGGAUUAGAUACCCGGGUAGUC